CCUACGGGAGGCAGCAGUGGGGAAUUUUCCGCAAUGGGCGAAAGCCUGACGGAGCAAUACCGCGUGAGGGAAGAAAGCCUACUGGGUUGUAAACCUCUUUUUUCAGGGAGGAAAAAAUGACGUGUACCUGAAGAAUAAGCAUCGGCUAACUCCGUGCCAGCAGCCGCGGUAAGACGGAGGAUGCAAGUGUUAUCCGGAAUUACUGGGCGUAAAGCGUCUGUAGGUGGUUUAAUAAGUCAACUGUUAAAUCUUGAGGCUUAACUUCAAAACAGCAGUCGAAACUAUUAGACUAGAGUAUAGUAGGGGUAAAGGGAAUUUCCAGUGGAGCGGUGAAAUGCGUAGAUAUUGGAAAGAACACCGAUGGCGAAAGCACUUUACUGAGCUAUUACUAACACUCAGAGACGAAAGCUAGGGUAGCAAAUGGGAUUAGAUACCCCAGUAGUCCUAGCUGUAAACAAUGGAUACUAGAUGUUGAACAGAUCGACCUGUGCAGUAUUAAAGCUAACGCGUUAAGUAUCCCGCCUGGGAAGUAUGCUCGCAAGAGUGAAACCUUAGAAGUAUGACGNGNGAGAGCGACGACGACGACGAGAGGAGAG
This 596-nucleotide ribosomal RNA is filed under the name uncultured bacterium. RNAcentral's name for it is "bacterial SSU rRNA". It matches the Rfam family "Bacterial small subunit ribosomal RNA", at positions 338 to 946 of the family's 1533-position model. The record is from RNAcentral.